This 27-nucleotide non-coding RNA is filed under the name Homo sapiens (human). Lineage: Eukaryota; Metazoa; Chordata; Mammalia; Primates; Hominidae. The record is from RNAcentral.
UGGUAGGCCUCACCCUAUACCCUGGGU